This 458-nucleotide ribosomal RNA is filed under the name uncultured bacterium. RNAcentral describes it as "partial 16S ribosomal RNA". It matches the Rfam family "Bacterial small subunit ribosomal RNA", at positions 28 to 507 of the family's 1533-position model. The record is from RNAcentral.
GAUAAACGCUGGCGGCGUGCAUGAGACAUGCAAGUCGAACGAAGGAUCGGGCUUGCUCGAUCCUUAGUGGCGGACGGCUGAGUAACGCGUAGGUGGCCUACCCCGAAGUGGGGAAUAACUGCCCGAAAGGGUGGCUAAUACCGCAUGUGGUCGCACGUUCAUUCGUGCGAGUAAAGCCGCAAGGCGCUUCGGGAGGGGCCUGCGUCCGAUUAGCUCGUUGGUGGGGUAAUGGCUUACCAAGGCGACGAUCGGUAGGUGGUCUGAGAGGACGAUCACCCAGACUGGGACUGAGACACGGCCCAGACUCCUACGGGAGGCAGCAGUCGGGAAUUUUGCUCAAUGGGGGAAACCCUGAAGCAGCAACGCCGCGUGAGGGAUGAAGGCCUUCGGGUUGUAAACCUCUUUUGUCAGGGACGAUGAUGACGGUACCUGGCGAAUAAGCCACGGCUAACUACGUG